GUAGGGAAUAUUGGACAAUGGGGGGAACCCUGAUCCAGCCAUGCCGCGUGGAGGAAGACUGCCCUCUGGGUUGUAAACUCCUUUUAUAUGGGAAGAACCGUCCUCAUUAAUGAGUGACCUGACGGUACCAUAGGAAUAAGCACCGGCUAACUCCGUGCCAGCAGCCGCGGUAAUACGGAGGGUGCAAGCGUUAUCCGGAUUAACUGGGUUUAAAGGGUGCGUAGGCGGAUAAAUAAGUCAGUGGUGAAAUCAACGGGCUCAACCUGUUAACUGCCAUUGAUACUGUGUAUCUUGAAUAUGAGAGAGGUAGGCGGAAUGUUGCAUGUAGCGGUGAAAUGCUUAGAUAUGCUACGGAACACCGAUUGCGAAGGCAGCUUACUAUUUCGUAAUUGACGCUGAGGCACGAAAGCGUGGGUAGCGAACAGGAUUAGAUACCCGUGUAGUCC
RNAcentral lists this ribosomal RNA (446 nucleotides) under uncultured bacterium. RNAcentral describes it as "partial 16S ribosomal RNA". It matches the Rfam family "Bacterial small subunit ribosomal RNA", at positions 354 to 796 of the family's 1533-position model. The record is from RNAcentral.